UCCUUGGUGGUCCAAUAGUUAAGACUCUGAGCUUCCAAUGCAGAGGGUGUGGGUUCAAUUCCUGGUUGGGGAA
Molecule: transfer RNA, 73 nt
Filed under: Bos taurus (domestic cattle)
Lineage: Eukaryota; Metazoa; Chordata; Mammalia; Artiodactyla; Bovidae
Also listed under: 2 other names
Rfam family: tRNA
About the family: Transfer RNA (tRNA) molecules are approximately 80 nucleotides in length. Their secondary structure includes four short double-helical elements and three loops (D, anti-codon, and T loops).
Source: Rfam by way of RNAcentral